This 923-nucleotide long non-coding RNA is filed under the name Theobroma cacao (cacao). Its description in RNAcentral is "long non-coding RNA (TCAC_LNC003772)". Lineage: Eukaryota; Viridiplantae; Streptophyta; Magnoliopsida; Malvales; Malvaceae. The record is from RNAcentral.
GAAAAGGGAAGAAAAGAAGAAGAACAAAACCCUAGUUAAGAAAUUCAAGAGAAAUUCACCAAAUUUCAAGGAAUCAAGCCAUCAAAGGUGAAAUUUCGUAAUUCUAGCUUGUGAUCUACCUUUCCUAUGCAUUAUUUUACAUUUUCCAUGGUUGAAUCACAAGAUAUCAUGAAGGAUAGUGUGUUGAUCAAACCUUAGGAGAGAGAAUUUGAUGAUGAAUUUAGUUAGAGAACAUGUUAUUCUAGUGUUUUUAGUUGUUUGGUGAUGUGUAGUAUGAAAAGCAAGCAAGAAAAAUUCACGUUCUUACAUCACCUUCAUUGGCCGAAUAUUCCACAUGGAAUAUUGAUGCUGAAUUUGAUUGAAUUUCAAGUGAUUUGAUUAGGAAUGAAUGAUUUAUGGUGUGAGAAUUAAUCAUGAAAAAUUAUAUUGUUAGUGCACUCACCAUGGCCGAAAUUUUCAAGAGAAAAUGUGAGGAUGAUUUUGCCACAUUUCAAGUUAUUUAAAUUGUGUUUAAUGAUUUGGAGUAUUGGGAGAGAAAUGGAAUUAUUUGGAAUUGAAUUGGACGUAUUGGCCAAUUAAUCGGGUAAUAGAUCGAAUUAGGUCAAUACCAUUUUAUUUAGAUACAUAAUUGAAUUUAUAUUGAACACCGUAUUUAGAUAGUUACCCGAGUAUUUCACAUCCCAUUUCAUGCAUAAGUAUAGAGCCUGAAUUGGUUUUACAACGGUUUAGCACAAAUGUAGCAAAUUGCUUAUUGUGCAUUAUGUCUAGGUGGUGAGCAUUCUGGCAAGAGUAAAGAGGUAGUAUCCAAGGAUCAAGAAUCAGAGUAUCCCGAAUUCGAUUCCCAUUACAGUGAGAAACCUUAUCAUCAUCUUGAUUAUCUGAAGUGAAUUUUAAUUCAUUUUUGUGAUUUUAUGGAAAAUGAG